This 27-nucleotide non-coding RNA is filed under the name Mus musculus (house mouse). The record is from RNAcentral. Lineage: Eukaryota; Metazoa; Chordata; Mammalia; Rodentia; Muridae.
GGAAUAGGAACUCAUAACACACUGUAC